RNAcentral lists this ribosomal RNA (1678 nucleotides) under Lychaete feredayi. RNAcentral describes it as "SSU rRNA". It matches the Rfam family "Eukaryotic small subunit ribosomal RNA". The record is from RNAcentral. Lineage: Eukaryota; Viridiplantae; Chlorophyta; Ulvophyceae; Cladophorales; Cladophoraceae.
CCGGUAAACUGCGAAUGGCUCGGUAAAUCAGUUAUAGUUUAUUUGAUAGUGCAACCUACUCGGAUAACCGUAGUAACACUAGAGCUAAUACGUGCGUAAAUCCCGACUUUCGGAAGGGACGUAUUUAUUAGAUUUAUGGCUAACCGGGCUUGCCCGACCAGCGGUGAAUCAUGGUAACUUGGCGGAUUGCAUGGCCCUCGUGCCGGCGACGUGUCAUUCAAGUUUCUGCCCCAUCAGGUUUCGACUGUAGUGUAUUGGACUACAGUGCCUAUAACGGGUAGCGGAGGAUUAGGGUUCGAUUCCGGAGAGGGAGCCUGAGAAACGGCUACCACAUCCAAGGAAGGCAGCAGGCGCGCAAAUUACCCAAUCCCAACUCAGGGAGGUAGUGACAAGAAAUAACAAUGCGGAGCUUCGUGUUCUGCAAUUGAAAUGAGAACAAUUUAAACCACUUAACGAGUAUCAAUUGGAGGGCAAGUCUGGUGCCAGCAGCCGCGGUAAUUCCAGCUCCAAUAGCGUAUAUGUAAGUUGUUGCGAUUAAAAAGCCCGUAGCUGAACCUCGGGCAGCCCUGAUGGUCCGCCUAUGGUGAGUACUGUCCUGGGCUGUCUUUCUGCUACGUGCCGUAUCUCGGCGUUUACUCGCCGGGAACGGAGCUUAGCAAGGUUACUUUGAGUAAAAUAGAGUGUUCAAAGCAAGCAUGCGCUCUGAAUACACUAGCAUGGGAUAACACGACAUGACCGAUGGUCUAUCUUGUUGGCCUGUAGACCUGUUGGUAAUGGCUAAUAGGGACGGUCGGGGGCAUUCGUAUUUCGCUGUCAGAGGUGAAAUUCUUGGAUUUGCGAAAGACGAACUACUGCGAAAGCAUUUGCCAAGGACGCUUUCAUUAGUCAAGGACGAAAGUCGGGGGAUCGAAGACGAUUAGAUACCGUCGUAGUCUCGACCAUAAACGAUGCCAAUUAGGGAUUGGAGGGCGGAUUCAAUAUGCCUCCUCCAGCACCUUCCGCGAAAGCAAAAUUUAUGGGCUUCGGGGGGAGUAUGGUCGCAAGGCUGAAACUUAAAGGAAUUGACGGAACGGCACCACCAGGCGUGGAGCCUGCGGCUUAAUUUGACUCAACACGGGAAAACUUACCAGGUCCAGACAGAAGUAGGAUUUACAGAUUGAUAGCUCUUUAAAGAUUUUUUGGAUGGUGGUGCAUGGCCGUUCUUAGUUCGUGGAUUGAUUUGUCAGGUUGAUUCCGGUAACGGACGAGACCCCAACCUACUAACUAGCUCUGGCUAAUCUAUAGCCUGCCAGCUUCUUAGAGGGACUCUCGGAUUGAAACCGAAGGAGGUGGGGCAAUAACAGGUCUGUGAUGCCCUUAGAUGUCCUGGGCCGCACGCGCGCUACACUGAUGCAUUCAACGAGCCUACCCUGUGCCGAGAGGUAUGGGUAAUCUGCGAAACUGCAUCGUGAUGGGGCUAGAUUAUUGCAAUUAUUGAUCUUUAACGAGGAAUGCCUAGUAAGCGCGAGUCAUCAACUCGCGUUGAUUACGUCCCUGCCGUUUGUACACACCGCCCGUCGCUCCUACCGAUUGGGUGUGCUGGUGAAAUGUUCGGAUUAGACGGCCUUCCGUCAGGGGGCCGCUUGAGAAGUUCAUUGAACCCUCUCACCUAGAGGAAGGAGAAGUCGUAACAAGGUCU